GAUGAACGCUGGCGGCGUGCCUAAUACAUGCAAGUCGAGCGAACAGACGAGGAGCUUGCUCCUCUGACGUUAGCGGCGGACGGGUGAGUAACACGUGGAUAACCUACCUAUAAGACUGGGAUAACUUCGGGAAACCGGAGCUAAUACCGGAUAAUAUAUUGAACCGCAUGGUUCAAUAGUGAAAGACGGUUUUGCUGUCACUUAUAGAUGGAUCCGCGCCGCAUUAGCUAGUUGGUAAGGUAACGGCUUACCAAGGCAACGAUGCGUAGCCGACCUGAGAGGGUGAUCGGAGACACUGGAACUGAGACACGGUACAGACUCCUACGGGAGGCAGCAGUAGGGAAUCUUCCGCAAUGGGCGAAAGCCUGACGGAGCAACGCCGCGUGAGUGAUGAAGGUCUUCGGAUCGUAAAACUCUGUUAUUAGGGAAGAACAAAUGUGUAAGUAACUAUGCACGUCUUGACGGUACCUAAUCAGAAAGCCACGGCUAACUACGUG
RNAcentral lists this ribosomal RNA (497 nucleotides) under uncultured bacterium. RNAcentral describes it as "partial 16S ribosomal RNA". It matches the Rfam family "Bacterial small subunit ribosomal RNA", at positions 28 to 507 of the family's 1533-position model. The record is from RNAcentral.